UUCUGUUGGUGAUUGGAGAGGUGCUCUAAAUGCGUUCAAAGAGGGGUACAAGCAAGUAGCUUCUCUAGUGACUUAUAAAUGUGCCUAUGUUAUUUAUGUAAACAGCCACGUUAAAACAAGUAUAAUUGUAAGAUUUUUCGGUUGGGACUAUACAUAUGACAUCGAGGUCAAGUGAUAAAUUCACCGCGAGGGAGGGAGCUUAAAACCUUCUAUUAAGAGGUUUCAUUUUGGUUCUAUGCAAUCUUAUGCUCACAAACAUAUUUGACUUGUAUAGAAAAAUAAUAUAAGAGGGGAGGCAAGUGUCUUCGACCUAGAAAAGCAGCACCUCUAGCUUGUGCCUGCAUUGCUCCAUGAUUUAUAUCAAAACUAGGCUACAAUCCUUUUCUUGAAUAAUUUUCUGAGUUGUAUCGAAAUAAAAAUGAAAAUCGUUAAAGGUAAAUUUUGCUGCUUUUUCUUCUUUGUUAAUAUAUUCUAUAUAUUGCUAAAGAGAGAAUAGGUUGGAAAAGAACUUGUAUGAAAUGAUUUACACAUUUUCUUCAAUCGAGAGUGACAUUGACUGUUUUGAUGAGCUCAGAACAUUUUAAGUUAAACACUAAUUGAUAUGUAUAUGCAAAAAUAUUUUUCUGAGAUGGACCUAUUAGCAUAGGCUUUGAAUUGCUAAACAUGCUUGAACUUUAAUAGCUUGCUCUUCUUCUGUUAGAAAACUAGAAAGACAUAUUAUGCUUCAGUAAUAAUUGAAUUUUUUAAUUUCUUGCGUGUUACCUGGCAUUCCUAAACUUGCAAUUGGAAUCUAGAAUUGGAGAAACCUGUUUGACUUCUAUAGUGUAAUUUUUUAAAUUUCUUGUGUGUUAUCUGUAUCUAUCUAUACCUUGAUUGAAGUAGAAACUUUUGCAUUUCAAGUCACGAGCAAGUAUUAAAAGGUAAUAUGUAUAUCAUGUAAUAGGUGCAGCAAAAAGUGAAAACGUUCGAAGAACUGAAGAAAAUGAUAGGACAUUGGACAAUGAAAUAAAGGAGUUUAAGGGAUAGGUGGAGGAUACUUGCCAAGGACUCUAGAUCUUCCUACUCAAGGGAAAUGUAAACAAAUUAGGACCUCCCGGAUUGUGCGUACUACUUGAGAGGACAUUAUAGUUUUAUAUAAUUAACUGAGCAGACGAGCUACAAGUUUUGGAGUACAUAGUUGUUAGUUCAUGAUAUAGGAGUCAUCAUCAUAUGUAUUCAUACUUAGUGAAUGAUUUUUAUUUAUGUAUUGAUGAUGUGUUUCGGAUUCAA
Molecule: long non-coding RNA, 1269 nt
Organism: Olea europaea var. sylvestris
Lineage: Eukaryota; Viridiplantae; Streptophyta; Magnoliopsida; Lamiales; Oleaceae
Exons: 2
Source: RefSeq, a predicted model, not a curated record